AAGUAAUGUGUAAUUACACCGGAGCCUGCGCGCUUUGAAGCCCUAUCCACGAUAGCAGGGGAGGUCACAGUGGGACGCGCCCCGCGUCGCGCAAAACACCGGCGCGGCGCGGUGCCGCUCGAGGUUCUGAGAGGAAACACAGUAAUUUAACGGCGCGAGCGAUCCACACAGUCCACAGACAAACACAGCGGCGGCGGUAAUGGCUGCUGUUCAUCUGCCGACACCUGUGAAUUAACAACCGGGGGCUGCAGGGCGCCGUCCAGCAGCGCGGCAGCGAAAUGAAACACUGUUUUCAUAUCGCCGCUCCAUUGAUCUCGGGGUGAAACGCUUCCUGCGGGAGCUGCAAGCGGAAGGCGACGCCACGUCUCAAAGGCCGCGCGACUGGUGGAGGUGAACGGGCCUGUGGAUCUGCACUUCACGCACAGACACCUCUCAGUCCCAGGAAGGACUCGAACCAACGACGAGGCUCCACCUGCCGAUGGACGGAUCCUUCUGCUGGAGCCGCCUUCCGACGGUCGGAGAACGGUGGGAGCAGCCAACUGGAUAAAAAGAAAAAUAUGCAGAGAACCUCUGUUGGCGGAUGAAGACUCUUCCUCAACUCACUUGAGGCGACUACAGCUGAUACCGUCCAGAAGUAAAGGAAUGAAGAUCACCAUGAGGCCAAAAAGGCGUCUGUGCAGGUGCAGGAGGCCAUCGCUGGUGUGAGGCAACGCACAAACAAAGCCAAGACCCAACGACUGACCAGCACCAUGGUUUGGACCCUUCUCGCAGAGGAAGGAAGGAACCGGCAGAGAAGAUCAUAUGAGGGUCAAAGGUCAAGAGGGACGACAUCUGGUGGAGUCCAACAGAAAGGCCUGGCAGAAGCAUCAGCAACGGAAGAAGAAUGAAGCGUGGUGGCGACUCUGCUUCGCUUCCUCUGGCGCUGGAAACAUGUGGCAUGUGGAAGUAUCGGGACAUAUUGUGGAGGAAAACAACAUCCCCUUUGUUAGAAACGGGAGGUUCGGGCAUUAAUGGUCCUUCCAACAAUGCAGUGAUCCCAAAGCAGGUCUCAACAGCAGCAGUCCAAGACGUUUGACUGGAAAAUCCCCUCGGUGCUUUUGUAACAAGCACACGUAUGAAAGGUUUAACUGUAUAUUAAGUGUUAGCGUCUUUGUGCCCUGGAG
Molecule: long non-coding RNA, 1163 nt
Filed under: Betta splendens (Siamese fighting fish)
Lineage: Eukaryota; Metazoa; Chordata; Actinopteri; Anabantiformes; Osphronemidae
Description: lncRNA (ENSBSLG00000018977.1)
Source: RNAcentral